RNAcentral lists this ribosomal RNA (111 nucleotides) under Chelonoidis abingdonii (Abingdon island giant tortoise). The record is from RNAcentral. Lineage: Eukaryota; Metazoa; Chordata; Testudines; Testudinidae.
UGCAGCCAUUUAACCUCAAGCUGCAAUCCAGAAACCUUGCAGGCUAUGUGGGGAUGGGCUGGGUUAGUACUCGGAUGGGAGACCACCAAAGAAAACCCAGUAUGGUUUUGA